Molecule: ribosomal RNA, 532 nt
Filed under: uncultured bacterium
Lineage: Bacteria
Description: bacterial SSU rRNA
Rfam family: Bacterial small subunit ribosomal RNA
Source: RNAcentral
AAUGGCGCAAGCCUGAUCCAGCCAUGCCGCGUGAGUGACGAGGCCUUAGGGUUGUAAAGCUCGUUUUGGCGGGGGACGAUAAUGACGGUACCCGCAGAAUAAGCCCCGGCUAACUUCGUGCCAGCAGCCGCGGUAAUACGAAGGGGGCUAGCGUUGUUCGGAAUCACUGGGCGUAAAGCGCACGUAGGCGGAUUUGUAGUCAGGGGUGAAAUCCCGGGGCUCAACCUCGGAACUGCCUUUGAUACUGCAAGUCUCGAGUCCGGAAGAGGUGAGUGGAAUUCCUAGUGUAGAGGUGAAAUUCGUAGAUAUUAGGAAGAACACCAGUGGCGAAGGCGGCUCACUGGUCCGGUACUGACGCUGAGGUGCGAAAGCGUGGGGAGCAAAACAGGAUUAGAUACCCUGGUAGUCCACGCCGUAAACUAUGGAUGCUAGCCGUCGGCAAGCUUGCUUGUCGGUGGCGCAGCUAACGCAUUAAGCAUCCCGCCUGGGGAGUACGGCCGCAAGGUUAAAACUCAAAGGAAUUGACGGGGGC